GACGAACGCUGGCGGCGUGCUUAACACAUGCAAGUCGAACGGAAAGGCCCUGCUUUUGUGGGGUGCUCGAGUGGCGAACGGGUGAGUAACACGUGAGUAACCUGCCCUUGACUUUGGGAUAACUUCAGGAAACUGGGGCUAAUACCGGAUAGGAGCUCCUGCUGCAUGGUGAGGGUUGGAAAGUUUCGGCGGUUGGGGAUGGACUCGCGGCUUAUCAGCUUGUUGGUGGGGGAGUGGCUUACCAAGGCUUUGACGGGUAGCCGGCCUGAGAGGGUGACCGGCCACAUUGGGACUGAGAUACGGCCCAGACUCCUACGGGAGGCAGCAGUGGGGAGUAUUGCACAAUGGGCGGAAGCCUGAUGCAGCAACGCCGCGUGCGGGAUGACGGCCUUCGGGUUGUAAACCGCUUUCGCCUGUGACGAAGCGUGAGUGACGGUAAUGGGUAAAGAAGCACCGGCUAACUACGUG
This 468-nucleotide ribosomal RNA is filed under the name uncultured bacterium. RNAcentral describes it as "partial 16S ribosomal RNA". It matches the Rfam family "Bacterial small subunit ribosomal RNA", at positions 28 to 507 of the family's 1533-position model. The record is from RNAcentral.